AUUGAACGCUGGCGGCAGGCCUAACACAUGCAAGUCGAGCGGACGAAGGGGGCGUUCGCCUGGCUUCAGUUACGGACGGGUGGGUAAUUCAUAGGAAGAUACCUGGUAGUGGGGGCUAGCGUCCGGGAACGGGCGCUAAUACAGCAUACGUCAUGAUGGAGAAAGGCGGGGUUCAUCGGACAUAACGCUAUCUGCUGAGCCUAGGUGGGAUUAGCUAGUUGGUGGGGUUAAUGCGUACGAAGACGAUGAGCCGUAACUGGUCUGAGAGGAUGAUCAGUCACACUGGAACUGAGACACGCGCCAGACUCCUACGGGAGGCAGAAGAGGGGAAUAUUGGACAAAGGGCGAGAGCCUGAUCCAGACCUGCCGCGUGUGUGAAGAAGGUCUUCGGAUUUUAAAGCACUUUAAGUUGGGAGGAAGGUCAGUAAGUUAAUACCUUGCUGUCUUGACGUUACCAACAGAAUAAGCCCCGGCUAACUUCGUG
Molecule: ribosomal RNA, 484 nt
Filed under: uncultured bacterium
Lineage: Bacteria
Description: partial 16S ribosomal RNA
Rfam family: Bacterial small subunit ribosomal RNA
Source: RNAcentral